AUGCGCCUACGGGGGGCAGCAGUAGGGAAUCUUCCACAAUGGACGAAAGUCUGAUGGAGCAACGCCGCGUGAGUGAAGAAGGGUUUCGGCUCGUAAAGCUCUGCUGGUAGUGAAGAAAGAUAGAGGUAGUAACUGGCCCUUAUUUGACGGUAAUUACUUAGAAAGUCACGGCUAACUACGUGCCAGCAGCCGCGGUAAUACGUAGGUGGCAAGCGUUGUCCGGAUUUAUUGGGCGUAAAGCGAGUGCAGGCGGUUCAAUAAGUCUUGU
Molecule: ribosomal RNA, 268 nt
Filed under: uncultured bacterium
Lineage: Bacteria
Description: partial 16S ribosomal RNA
Rfam family: Bacterial small subunit ribosomal RNA
Source: RNAcentral